This 497-nucleotide ribosomal RNA is filed under the name uncultured bacterium. Its description in RNAcentral is "partial 16S ribosomal RNA". It matches the Rfam family "Bacterial small subunit ribosomal RNA", at positions 28 to 507 of the family's 1533-position model. The record is from RNAcentral.
GACGAACGCUGGCGGCGUGCCUAAUACAUGCAAGUCGAGCGAACAGACGAGGAGCUUGCUCCUCUGACGUUAGCGGCGGACGGGUGGGUCACAUGUGGAUAACCUACCUCUCAGACUGGGAUACUUUCGGGAAACCGGAGCUUAUACCGGAUAAUAUAUUGCACCGCAUUGUUCAAUAGUGAAAUUCGGUUUUUCUGUCACUAAUAGCUGAAUCAGCGCCGCAUGAGCUAGUUGGUAAGGUAACGGCUUACCAAGGCGACGAGGCGUACCCGACCUGAAAGGGAGGUCGGCCAGACGGGAACAGAGACAGAGUCCAGACACCUGCGGGAGGAAGCAGUAGGGAAUCUUCCGCAAGGGAGGAGUGCCGAACGGAGCAACGCGGCGUGAGGGAUGAAGGUCUACUGAUCGGAAAGCGCUGUUAGUAGGGGGGAACAAAUGUGUAAGUAACUAGGCACGUCUUGACGGUACCGAGUCAGAAAGCCACGGCUAACUACGUG